UGGGGAAUAUUGGACAAUGGGCGCAAGCCUGAUCCAGCCAUGCCGCGUGAGUGAUGAAGGCCCUAGGGUUGUAAAGCUCUUUCACUGGUGAAGAUAAUGACGGUAACCGGAGAAGAAGCCCCGGCUAACUUCGUGCCAGCAGCCGCGGUAAUACGAAGGGGGCUAGCGUUGUUCGGAUUUACUGGGCGUAAAGCGUACGUAGGCGGACUUUUAAGUCAGGGGUGAAAUCCCGGGGCUCAACCCCGGAACUGCCUUUGAUACUGGAAGUCUUGGAUCUGGUAUAGGUGGGUGGAAUUCCGUGUGUAGCGGUGAAAUUCGUAGAUAUUCUGAGGAACACCAGUGGCGAAGGCAGCUCUCUAGACCUUUACUGACGCUGAGGUGCGAAAGCGUGGGGAGCAAACAGG
This 404-nucleotide ribosomal RNA is filed under the name Actinomycetes bacterium. RNAcentral describes it as "Actinobacteria bacterium partial 16S ribosomal RNA". It matches the Rfam family "Bacterial small subunit ribosomal RNA", at positions 355 to 776 of the family's 1533-position model. The record is from RNAcentral. Lineage: Bacteria; Bacillati; Actinomycetota; Actinomycetes.